GAUAAACGCUAGCGGCAGGCUUAACACAUGCAAGUCGAGGGGCAGCAUAGAUUGUAGCAAUACAAUUGGUGGCGACCGGCGCACGGGUGCGUAACGCGUAUGCAACCUACCCGUCACAGGGGGAUAAUCCGGAGAAAUCUGGUCUAAUACCCCAUAACAUAUGGAUCGGCAUCGGUUCAUGUUGAAAUUUUCGGAGGUGACGGAUGGGCAUGCGUAGCAUUAGCUUGUUGGUGAGGUAACGGCUCACCAAGGCGACGAUGCUUAGGGGGACUGAGAGGUUUUCCCCCCACACUGGUACUGAGACACGGACCAGACUCCUACGGGAGGCAGCAGUGAGGAAUAUUGGUCAAUGGGCGCAAGCCUGAACCAGCCAUGCCGCGCGCAGGAUGACGGCUCUAUGAGUUGUAAACUGCUUUUGUACGAGGGUAAAGUGGGUUACGUGUAACCUUUUGAAAGUAUCGUACGAAUAAGGAUCGGCUAACUCCGUGCCAGCCGCCGCCGUAA
RNAcentral lists this ribosomal RNA (504 nucleotides) under uncultured bacterium. Its description in RNAcentral is "partial 16S ribosomal RNA". It matches the Rfam family "Bacterial small subunit ribosomal RNA", at positions 28 to 523 of the family's 1533-position model. The record is from RNAcentral.